CCGUCAAUUCCUUUAAGUUUCAACCUUGCGGCCGUACUCCCCAGGUGGAUUACUUAUUGCUUUUGCUUAGCCGCUGACUGUGUAUCGCCAACAGCGAGUAAUCAUCGUUUACGGCGUGGACUACCAGGGUAUCUAAUCCUGUUCGAUCCCCACGCUUUCGUGCCUCAGCGUCAGUGUCGGUCCAGUAAGCUGCCUACGCAAUUGGUGUUCUGUGUAAUAUCUAAGCAUUUCACCGCUACAUUACACAUUCCGCCUACCUUAACCAAACUCAAGACUAACAGUAUCAAUGGCAGUUCUGCAGUUAAGCUGCAGGAUUUCACCACUGACUUAUUAGUCCGCCUACGCACCCUUUAAACCCAAUGAAUCCGGAUAACGCUCGCAUCCUCCGUAUUACCGCGGC
This 400-nucleotide unclassified non-coding RNA is filed under the name uncultured fungus. RNAcentral describes it as "sequence contains ITS1". Lineage: Eukaryota; Fungi. The record is from RNAcentral.